This 247-nucleotide ribosomal RNA is filed under the name uncultured Clostridiaceae bacterium. RNAcentral describes it as "partial 16S ribosomal RNA". It matches the Rfam family "Bacterial small subunit ribosomal RNA", at positions 527 to 773 of the family's 1533-position model. Lineage: Bacteria; Bacillati; Bacillota; Clostridia; Eubacteriales; Clostridiaceae. The record is from RNAcentral.
GUAGGUGGCGAGCGUUGUCCGGAAUUACUGGGCGUAAAGGAUGCGUAGGUGGAUAUUUAAGUGGGAUGUGAAAUCCCCGGGCUCAACCCGGGAACUGCAUUCCAAACUGGGUAUCUAGAGUGCAGGAGAGGAAAGCGGAAUUCCUAGUGUAGCGGUGAAAUGCGUAGAUAUUAGGAGGAACACCAGUGGCGAAGGCGGCUUUCUGGACUGUAACUGACACUGAGGCAUGAAAGCGUGGGUAGCAAAC